Long non-coding RNA from Mytilus trossulus (common blue mussel), 1279 nucleotides. RefSeq lists it as uncharacterized. The record is from RefSeq and is a predicted model, not a curated record. Lineage: Eukaryota; Metazoa; Mollusca; Bivalvia; Mytilida; Mytilidae. The transcript is spliced from 8 exons.
UCAUCCAUGAAAAUGUAAACAGAAAACAAACGUAUCAUGAAAAUCUGUUCGGCCUGUAAAGGAGUGAAGGCAUGGAGAUACAUAAACAUAUCUGGAGAUGAAGAAGUGUUUUACAAAAAAUUCUGUUCCUUAUUUUGUGUUGAUCAAGUCCAAGAGAAUGUCAUCCUUUGCUACAAUUGUAGAUCAUUUAUGACAAGGGUCAACACUUUUGUAGUAAAGAGAAGGAAGUCCAAGACAAUGGGGAUGUAUACAAUGCAUAAGAACUUACGGUGUAUUACCAAGUACCUCUCUACAAGAGCUUAACACAAAGGAUCCAGUGAAUAGAACAUCUGGAGUAAAAAGAUCAUUUUGCAGGUACACAACUUCCGGAAAGAAGAAAAUAUGCUGAUCUUUGAUCACGAACUUGUAAACAGAGGGAAAAAUCUAAUUUAUAGACAAUCGGUGUAUUUGAUCUGUAUGUCAACCCAGUAAAACCAAAGAGACAAAAAGGAAAGAGGAAACAGUCUUCGACCUCAUCAAAUAAACAAACCAGGAAACAAAAAUCAAGAAAAUCCAGUUCAUCAGACUCCGAUAUCACUGACACUCUCAACCACAGGGGUCAGGUCAAAUAAGUCAAAGGUUUUAAUAUUUUAUAAAAACAAGACAGAGACAAAUUAAAUUUUUGGGCCGAAGCAUUAAACAUGAAUGGAUAAUUGAUGAAACUUCACAACAAAAAGAAUGGUAUAAAGGGACUGUAGUAUCUUUGUUAUCUGGAACUGAUGGAAGAUUAACUGUCAUUUAUGAAGUUUUGUAUGAGGGAGAGGAUGAACCAUUUGAAAUUGACCAUUUAAUACAGGAUUAUCAAUAUGGAUCAGUGCAGUUCAUUGAUGUGUAACAGGUUAUAAGAAAAAAGGGUUUUUGUGACUUAGGACAUUACUGGAUUUUUUAGAAGAUGGACUUACUUGUAUACAGAAUUUUUGACUUAUGAACAUAUAUUGUUGUUUAGAAUUGUUUAAUUUGAAUAGUGCUCAUCACAAGGAAGAUUUUGAUAUAUGAUAUGAUAAAGGUUUAUGAUGUUUCGUUGUGAAGAGCAGUUUUGUGGAGAAAAUGUUGAAAAACUAAAUUUCUAUAAAUCAGUGGACGGUUUAAACAGAAUAUCGAAAACAAUGCAAUGAAUUAUAGGUUAUAAGAAAACUAAAAUCACAAAAAUACUAAACUCCGAGAAAAAUUUCAAUCGUAAACGAGUGGACAACAACAAAAAGGCAUUUUCAAAUGUAGAAAAUGGUGGAUUGAACCUGGU